GAUAAACGCUGGCGGCGUGCCUAAUGCAUGCAAGUCGAACGGGGGAUGUGGUUUCGGCCGCAUCUCCAGUGGCGGAUGGGUGAGUAACGCGUAAGUGACCCACCCCUGAGUGGGGGAUAACCCCGAGAAAUCGGGGCUAAUACCGCAUAAAGUGGGAGACCACCAAAGCCUUAGGGUGCUUGGGGAAGGGCUUGCGUCCGAUUAGCUAGUUGGCAGGGUAAGGGCCUACCAAGGCGAAGAUCGGUAGCUGGUCUGAGAGGAUGACCAGCCACACUGGGACUGAGACACGGCCCAGACUCCUACGGGAGGCAGCAGCAGGGGAUAUUGCGCAAUGGGCGAAAGCCUGACGCAGCAACGCCGCGUGAGGGAAGAAGGCCUUCGGGUUGUAAACCUCUUUUCUCGGGGAAGAAGAACUGACGGUACCCGAGGAAUAAGUCUCGGCUAACUACGUG
RNAcentral lists this ribosomal RNA (452 nucleotides) under uncultured bacterium. RNAcentral describes it as "bacterial SSU rRNA". It matches the Rfam family "Bacterial small subunit ribosomal RNA", at positions 28 to 507 of the family's 1533-position model. The record is from RNAcentral.